This 15609-nucleotide long non-coding RNA is filed under the name Brassica napus (rape). RNAcentral describes it as "long non-coding RNA (BNAP_LNC007264)". The record is from RNAcentral. Lineage: Eukaryota; Viridiplantae; Streptophyta; Magnoliopsida; Brassicales; Brassicaceae.
UGAGACUCCAGCAGAGUUGUGUUUAGCCUUAGGUAAGUGAAACACGAUAGGUGGCGACCAUCAGGGUCGUUAAGUGGCUUUGCGUUCUCAAGAAUCUUGUUGUAGCCUUCUCUGUCGUAACAAGGAAGAGCAUUCUCACUAGCUACAGGUAUAUUCGCAUCCCAAGCUGCAUUCAACACCUGCCAAACUAGACCUUCUGGGUCAGCCAGCGCCUCUGGAAAAUCCUCGUGCUGGUCAAGUGUUCGUAACUCCACGCAUGUGAAGUUGAGAGCAGCGUCAUGUUUCUUCAGCAUCGCUGCUAUUGGACCGUACCCAUCACGGUUUGACGGGUUGUAGAAUCCAGCAGUGAGCUCAGCAGCGUGACUAGCUGUUUUAUACCACCAGUGUAUACCUGAGAGCUAAAUGCAAAACAGACGAUUUUAUUCAGACAAGCCGGGGAAAAAAAACAUACUAUACUUGCUUUGUUUUUGUUUCACCUUGGCAGCGAUGGAGUUUCCUUCGAAGGCCAAGUUAGCCAUAGAAAGAACACGAUCACCAUGGUCAAUGAGAACUCUGGAGUACCAGUUAAGAAAGAAUCUGCCGUAGUAGCUGUCAUAGUCACCUCCAUCGCGAAAGAAACCAGUCCCGUGUGGGGUAGAGUUAUAAGACUCAGUGUUGUCAGGUCCUCUGCCCCAAAAGCUGUGCCCUCUUACCUCUGCUGCCUCCUUUAAGCUCUUCAUCAAAUACUUAUCAUAACACUGCUCACACCAGUAGAGAAGAUAUAAGUGAUCUGACAGGAUGUAGAUUUUUUGAAUUAAAAAAAGAGAGAGAGAGUACCUGGAAUUCACCAAUACCAGGAUACUUCCAGCCAUGUUGAGCAGGGUAAGAAGGAUACCUGAGCUCCCCACAUGGACCUAGUCCUACUUCUAUCUCUGUUAUGAUUUUCUCCUCAAAGAACUCAUCAAACUCCACUCUAAAGCUUCUCAUGUAAUCAAAGUAAACCUACACAAUAUUAACAAUGGAUUCCUCAAUCAUGACAUAGUGGUGCUUGCAUGUUAGGCGAUAGAGUAGAAACCCCAUACCUCGAGAGCAGUUCUUCCUCUUAAAACACGUUGCUUGUCAAUCCCCCAAGUGAGACACUCAGAGUUACGCAUGCCUGCCCUGUCAGUGAAGUAAAUGUCAGGAUUGGUUUCACCAAUCUCUCUUACCCACUGGGGGAGUUGUAUAUGCACAUCAUCUCCAACAUUGCCUCCACACUCGUGGAACGACAUAACAACCUGAACAAGUCAAGAAGAAACAGUUUAUCUACAUAUCAUCUCACUAAAAUACCUUAUAUGAGAAGAUGAGAUCACCUGAAGCUUAAGUCCAAGCUGGCGAAUCAUGUCAAAGAGUUUCUUGUAGCCGCUCCAGUUAUAGACCUGAGGGGUAUGAGACUCGACGAUGCCCCACCAGCAGUCAACCAUAACACCAUCAACAUUAACAGACUUGAGGGUUCUUAACUGAUCCAAGAGCUCUUCCGGUUCAACCACUUCCGAGUUCAUAUCAAUCAGUCCCAACUACAUCAUAUCAUUCAUUCAACACUUGACUCAACCAAACCAUCUCUAGAAAGCAAAAAUUAAAAAAAAACUUACUGGGAGCAUAACAUAGACGGGAACAGACGCUGUGCCGGCAAAAUCACGCUCAUAAAAAUGCACAAAUGGUUCAUCAUCAUCAUCAGCCUAGAAAUUGAAAAUGUAUGAAAAAUACAUCAGAAACAACUUACGAGCAGUGAACUCUAUAAUGAGACACUUACGAGCUGAUCUUCGAUAGGAGGAGCUCGAUCCUCAACACUCUCUCCUAAAACCAAAGGCCUAGCACCAGAAAGUGUAGAGGCGCCACGCCAUUCUCCAACGCGCGAUCUCCGAGCAGAUACUCUCGCCGGAGCUCCGAGCUUCUUCACGCUCACUGGACAUACAACAGUAUGAAUCGAACUAAUCGCCAUCACUACGAAAAAAUCUUCUCACUUGUGUGUGUAUCCUAAAUUCAGAUUUUAUGAGAAGACAUGGGGACAAUCAAAACCCACGUGAAAGUGUCAAUGCUUUUUCACGGAUCCAAGAACCCAUUCGAUCAAAUCAAUUUUUUUGAAAAUGAAAAAACAAAACAAAACAAAAGAGUUUAGUCCGGAUUCACUCAGAUCCGUCCGUUUGAGAGUUUUUGUCUUUUAAUCACACACACACGUGGCGCUAUGUCGGUCAAAUUUCCUACGUCGGACAACUCCCGCGCGGGUCAAGUUUAUCAAUGGGCUUUUAAGAAUGAAACUUCUAUUGAGCCCAUUUAUCUAUUGGGUCCAUUAAGUCUAUCUCUCUCUCAGCUCACUGUGUUAAAAAGGCCCUAAUACGCUCGUAAAUAUCUUUUGUUUUUUGAGUUUUUAUUUACUCCAUGUAAUAAUAUUAUGGACAAAUCUGUACUGUUUUAAAUUGUUUGACUGUACUUGCACGAGUGUAUAUGAUUUUUUUUUGACUCAACCAAACCGAUCUCUAGAAAGCAAAAAUUAAAAAAAAACUUACUGGGAGCAUAACAUAGACGGGAACAGACGCUGUGCCGGCAAAAUCACGCUCAUAAAAAUGCACAAAUGGUUCAUCAUCAUCAUCAGCCUAGAAAUUGAAAAUGUAUGAAAAAUACAUCAGAAACAACUUACGAGCAGUGAACUCUAUAAUGAGACACUUACGAGCUGAUCUUCGAUAGGAGGAGCUCGAUCCUCAACACUCUCUCCUAAAACCAAAGGCCUAGCACCAGAAAGUGUAGAGGCGCCACGCCAUUCUCCAACGCGCCAUCUCCGAGCAGAUACUCUCGCCGGAGCUCCGAGCUUCUUCACGCUCACUGGACAUACAACAGUAUGAAUCGAACUAAUCGCCAUCACUACGAAAAAAUCUUCUCACUUGUGUGUGUAUCCUAAAUUCAGAUUUUAUGAGAAGACAUGGGGACAAUCAAAACCCACGCGAAAGUGUCAAUGCUUUUUCACGGAUCCAAGAACCCAUUCGAUCAAAUCAAUUUUUUUGAAAAUGAAAAAACAAAACAAAACAAAAGAGUUUAGUCCGGAUUCACUCAGAUCCGUCCGUUUGAGAGUUUUUGUCUUUUAAUCACACACACACGUGGCGCUAUGUCGGUCAAAUUUCCUACGUCGGACAACUCCCGCGCGGGUCAAGUUUAUCAAUGGGCUNNNNNNNNNNNNNNNNNNNNNNNNNNNNNNNNNNNNNNNNNNNNNNNNNNNNNNNNNNNNNNNNNNNNNNNNNNNNNNNNNNNNNNNNNNNNNNNNNNNNUCGGGUUGAGUAAAACAUAAACCAAUUGGGUUACAUAAAGAGCACGGUCUGGUUUGGUUCGGUUUAACUUCGGUUUGGUUGGUUCGGUUCGGUUCGGUUUGAGUUUUUUGCCCAUCCCUAUGGGUAAGAAUGUAAACAAGACAACACGGAAACACGUGUCAAUGAUCUGACGGUGAGUUAGUCAAUGUCCUUUCCCCUCUCUUCUCUAAUAUGCGAGGAAAAUAAUGCAGAACCGUGUUUCCGUUUAUACCCUUGUUGCCCAAAUCUUUAUUCGGGCAACUUUAAAUUUUAAUUUCCCUAUCUUGCUUUUUUGACUUUACACUAAUAUCUUUUUUAAUGUUCCUUUUAGAGAAAUUAAAAUAGGGACAUAAAAGUAAACAAAAGAAAUAAAUGCGUAAUUAAUUUUGGCUGACCCCCUCUAGCUCUUACUAAUCCUCGGGCAGGCAGGUCUCAGACAUCUUCCCUCUUCAUCAGACAGCUUCCUCUUAUAUUCUGUUCCUCACUGGAAGAGGAAGAAGAAGUAAAGAGAUCAAAGCUCCAACCUUGUGUUGUGUAUAAAAGUUUUGACUAAUUUUGACGGUUUAACUUGUCAUAUCAUCGAAUUCCGGUUAGCAAAUUCGGUACGUGUGUGGUUUUGAGUUGAUCGGAUCUCGAGAGUGAGAUGAUGUGGAGGAACAUUGCUGGCUUCUCCAAGGCUGCUGCUGCGGCGGCAAGAACCCACGGAUCUCGGCGGUACUUGUCUUCGGCGAUUCCUGGUCCUUGCAUCGUCCACAAGCGUGGUGCCGAUAUCCUCCACGAUCCAUGGUUUAACAAGGUUUCUCUAUUCUCUUUUCCUCUGAUCUUAUAAUGCCUGAUUGUUGAAACUUUAUGGGAAGUGAGUUUAUAACAUUUUGAAAUCUUGUCAGCUCGUUUGGUGCCUUUUUUUGAAGUUUGUUCGUUUCUCAUUUUUGGUGGUGGGUUCAUGGUUUGCACAGGACACAGGUUUUCCAUUGACUGAGAGAGAUAGAUUGGGGCUAAGAGGCUUGCUUCCUCCUCGUGUUAUCUCCUUUGAACAGCAAUAUGCCCGUUUCAGUAAGUCUCUUUUGGAUCCAUGCUUAUGCCUUUUUUUCUGGUUUUCUGAGACUUUUUCCUAUGAAUACAAAUUGGCAGUUGAGUCCUUUCGGUCGCUAGAGAGGAACACGCAAGGGCAGCCAGACAACGUUGUCUCAUUAGCUAAGUGGAGGAUUCUCAAUAGGUUGCAUGAUCGUAACGAGACUUUGUACUACCGAGUGAGUUCAAAGUUUCCUCUUUUUUUUUUUUUUAUUAUCCUGACAUCUUGACACACCCCGGAGACAUAACCAUCGCUUGUUCUCUGCAGGUCCUUAUUGAUAACAUCAAAGACUUUGCUCCAAUCAUAUACACACCGACGGUUGGACUGGUUUGUCAGAACUAUUCCGGUUUGUAUAGAAGACCCAGAGGAAUGUACUUCAGUGCCAAAGACAAAGGAGAGAUGAUGUCUAUGAUCUACAACUGGCCUGCUCAUCAGGUUGAUAUGAUCGUCAUCACUGAUGGUAGCCGUAUCCUUGGCUUAGGAGACCUUGGAGUCCAGGGUAUUGGGAUUCCUAUUGGCAAGCUCGACAUGUAUGUCGCUGCUGCAGGAAUCAAUCCACAGAGAGUAUGUCCCAUCUCCACAUUAUCUGCUUGUGGACAAAGGGUUUCAUCUUCUUAUUCGAAAAUUUUACGCUUGUUUAUAUUCAGGUUUUGCCAAUUAUGUUGGAUGUCGGCACCAAUAAUCAAAAGCUCCUACAGAAUCCUCUCUGUAAGCUACUUUUAUUAGUCUCUAUAUGAUUGCACUUCUGUGGAUGUGUUUCCUUUGAUACGUCAUUCAUGUAUCUACAGAUUUAGGACUCAGACAACCUAGGUUGGAAGGAGAGGAGUACCUUGAGAUUGUUGAUGAGUUUAUGGAAGCUGCAUUCACACGUUGGCCUAAGGCCGUCGUUCAGGUAUAUAUAUAAUUUGGUUUUACCUUUUGGUGGUGGUGAGGGAUGACUAAAAUGGUUGUUUCAAUCAUAAUAGUUCGAAGAUUUCCAAGCGAAAUGGGCUUUUGAAACUUUGGAUAGAUAUCGGAAGAAGUUUUGCAUGUUCAAUGAUGAUGUCCAGGUAUCUUCUCAUCAUUUCACUUCAGCUGCUUCUUACUUUAAAGCUACUCUUUAAUAACAAGGUUGGCGUAUGAUGUCUCAGGGAACUGCUGGUGUUGCUCUCGCUGGACUAUUGGGAACUGUAAGAGCUCAAGGUCGUCCUUUGUCAGACUUUGUUAACCAAAAGAUUGUUGUGGUUGGAGCUGGAAGGUACUUGGUUAUCCAGUCUUUUACUAAUAUUGUACUGUAUAUUUCUGCAGUAACUUUCAUCUCAUCUUUCGUAUUGUAAUAUUUCUUCUUUUCUUUAUAGUGCCGGGCUCGGUGUAACAAAGACGGCAGUACAGGCGGUUGCGAGAAUGGCAGGCAUCAGCUUCGCUGAAGCAACGAAAAACUUUUACCUGAUAGAUAAAGAUGUAAGUCUCUCUUAUCCCUUGCUAGUUGACGUCAUCUGAAUGGUUUGUCUUGCUUGAUAAUAAAUAUUUUAGCUCGUGGAGUUGACUUUGAAACUGUCAUAUUAUUGUCUCUUUUAGAGCUUGCUUUUGGAUGUUGUCUUAAGUUAUCUACUAAGAGCUUACCUAGAAGAAGUCAAAAACAUUUUUCAAAAGUUAUCCCUUUGACAUAUUAGUUUUGUCUUGGUCAGCAUAUUGUUUUUUUUGUUUAAAUUGGAUUGCCUCAUAAGAUCUUGAAUAAUGUAAUGAAAACGACUGAAUGUGCUUUAGGGUCUUGUCACCACGGAGAGGUCAAAACUUGACCCAGCAGUUGUACCUUUUGCCAAAAAUCCAGCUGAGAUACGUGAGGGAGCAAGUAUCGUUGAAGUGGUAAAGCUUAAAGCCUCAUUGUGUUCUUGACUUGGCCGAUUAUUUGACUCCAUCUUCUUUUCUCUACAGCUGUUCAUGAAAGUUGAGACAUAAUAAUAUUGUUUCCUUGUUUACAAAUUUUUGUUCAGGUGAAGACAGUGAGGCCACAUGUACUUCUUGGUUUAUCUGGAGUUGGUGGCAUCUUCAAUGAAGAAGUAGGUGAACCUAAUUUCAACAAACAUAUAGUUGAAUGAUAUAUUAAUUAACAGUUUUACUGACUUGUAUGGUUUACUGGUUUCAAUUUGUGCAAAGGUUCUCAAGGCAAUGCGAGAAUCUGAUUCAUGCAAGCCCGCCAUUUUUGCUAUGUCCAAUCCCACCUUGAAUGGUUUGUGUGUUUUGUCUUUCCAAAAUAAUGUAACAUUGUUUCCUUGAAAGAAGAUCUGAUCUGAACACUUUUUUUUUUUUUUUCUGUUUGGCAGCGAGUGCACUGCUGCUGAUGCAUUUAAGCACGCCGGAGAAAACAUAUUUUUUUUUUUUCUGUUUGGCAGCUGAGUGCACUGCUGCUGAUGCAUUUAAGCACGCCGGAGAAAACAUAGUCUUUGGAAGCGGAAGCCCAUUUGAAAACGUUCAACUUGGUAUGUUAUAGUAGUGAGCUUCAUUUAUGGAUUUUUGCAACUCUAAAUUGUUUAAAAUCUGAAAAUAAAAUAAUUCAUAUUAUUCUUUUAAACUUGCAGAGAAUGGUAACGUUGGGCAUGUGAAUCAGGCCAACAACAUGUACCUAUUCCCCGGGUUCGUUUACGCUUCUUGAAAACUGCUUCACAGUGAAUCACAUUUUAAUCCAUAAGUAUAGCUCAAAUCAACUGUGCUUAUUUUGUUUUACAGGAUCGGGUUAGGGACUCUUCUAUCUGGUGCGCGUAUUGUAACUGAUGGAAUGCUGCUAGCAGCUGCUGAAUGGUAAGAAGAUUGCAUUUAUUUGGUUCUCUUCUAUCUCUCCAACCAUUAGAAACAAAAUGACAAGAUUGGAGCUUAUAAUAUAGUGAGGCUGAUGAUUAAAUAUAUAUUUUGAAAAUAUAACGCAGCCUUGCAUCCUACAUGACUGACGAAGAAGUCCAAAAAGGCAUCCUUUACCCUUCAAUCAACAAGUAUUAUUUCCUCUCAUUCUUAUCCAUUGAUUAAUAUCUUAAAUGGUUAUAUUAAAAGUAAUUGGUUUCUGAACCAAAAAAAUGCAGCAUCCGACACAUAACAGCAGAGGUUGGGGCGGCUGUUCUAAGAGCUGCUGUUACUGACGACAUUGUAGAAGGACAUGGGGAUGUUGGUCCCAGAGAUCUCAGUCACAUGUCUAAGGUAUCAGAAUUAAUUGAGCUUUGUAUUAAACAUGAUAACUAAGGUACACUAGUAGAAGUUGGAAUCUAAUUGCAUCUUUUUUCUUCUUCUUUUGAAACAACAGGAGGAGACAGUGGAUUACAUCACACGCAACAUGUGGUUCCCAAUUUACAGCCCUCUCGUGCACGAGAAAUAGACUCUUUGAAAUCUCUCAGAUCUCAUAAUAAAAGCCAAAAAUACAAAAAGAACUUCUUCCUUCUCUUAUUUGCGGUCAACAACAUUGUUUCUUCUUUUCCCAGUAUGUGCUAUGAAAGCCAUGAUGCCUAAUGUUUAAAAACGACAAAGAACAAGAACAGUGUUAGCUCUAGGUCACCUGUCCCUUGUCCUUUGUCCGAUAUUUUUUCCAAUGUCUGAAAAGAUUAUGUCUGAAAGGAUCAUAUAAUAUACAUUUUUUUGGGGCAAUAACAUUUCUUUGAAUCUGCUCUACUCUUCAGAAUUCGGUUUGAUAAAAUCGAAUUUGAUUUGGAUUGGACUGAAACGGUUCUGGUUCGAAGUUUUGUAAUUUGUAUUAAUGAAAGAAACGGAACGAAUAAAUGGGCCCUUGAGCAAUUGGGCCUAGGCUGUAACACUCAACAAGCGUACAGGUUUUGACUUGACGGAUGAAACAUAAACGACGUGAAGAAACGGCACGUAGUCUGGAACACGCAAGCCUGUUGGUUGAUUCUUCUUUCUUUCUCUCGACGUUGGGGGAAAAAAGGAAUGUUGAGAGAAAGAAGAAAGAAAGAGAUUGGACAAAUCAGCGACCAGCCUGGAAUUGAUUAAGUUUAAAGAAUGACCUGAGAAAACCAAACCAACGAAGAGGCUCCGCAGAAUAUUCUCCCUUUGUCACGCAAACCCCUAAUAGUUAAAUAUAUUUAUUUUAUUUUCUCCUCUUACGUUCGCCCUUUGCUCGAAGCCAAAUCAGCUUUUCUCAAAUCAAAAAGAGUCCCUUCUCGAUUGAAAUUCUCCAGGUAUGAAAUUCAUUAGGGAGUUUCUUCUGAUAAACUUUGUUCAUGUUUCUCGUAUGUGAAUGUUUGGUUAUCGUAUUGGGAAGACUCUCUGUAUGUAGAUUGAACGUUGAAUCAUUUAUUUGAAAUUCACAGGCAAUAGUUGGAAUAUCUAAGUAAUAAUUAUAUGUAAUUUCGUUUACAGGAUAGUUUUAGCUGAGGAUAUAUAUAUAUGAUGAUGAUGAAACAACAACAACAGCAGCAGCAGAAACAGCACAUUGCAAUCUUUACGACAGCUAGUCUUCCGUGGCUUACGGGAACUGCUGUUAAUCCUCUCUUCCGUGCUGCCUACCUUGCUAAAGACGGUCAAAGACGUGUCACUUUGGUCAUUCCUUGGCUCACUCUCAACCACCAGCUCCUUGUCUACCCUAAUAACAUCACUUUCGCUUCCCCUUCCCACCAAGAAGCUUAUGUCCGUCGCUGGCUUGAGGACAGAGUCUCGUUUCCUUUAAGUUUUGAGAUUCGUUUCUAUCCAGGAAAGGUAUUCACUUUUGCCCUUUCUCAACUAGAAUUAAUCUUUCUAGUUCCUUCCUUUUAAAUACUCCUUCUUUAUCUAAAAGUUGAAUUCUUUCCAGCUUUCUUUAACCAUCACUUCAUAGUUAAUCCUCAGUUCUCAGUCUAUUUUCUCAUCUCACCUUUUUUGUGUGUACAUUAUAUGAAUCUCAUAUGUGAUAUUUCCAACAUAUGUUUGUAUGUGCAUCUACGCGCAUAUGUUUAUUUUUUGCUCAUACAUUUAUAAUCACCCUUUUUGACUCUUAUCUCAAAGCCUUUCGUGGAGAUAGAUAGAUAGUCUCUUUUACCCUAACCAUUACAUCAUUGAUAAUCCUCAAUUCUCACGCAGCAUAUCCGGUGUUAUCUUUCUUCAUCUCACAUUUAUGUGUUCAUUCUGUGAAUAUGGUAUCUGAUCUUUCCAAUAUAUGUAUGUGAAACUGUCUGCUUAUACGCAUAAAUGCUCAUAUAUAAGGACCAUUUUUGGGUCGGACUCCAGACCUUUCAUGGACAUAGAUAGUUUCUUUUACCGUCUGUGCUUUCUCUAUAUGUCAUGUCUUUGUGUUAUUUACAUGAGUCUGCAUACACCUGAUGUAUACUUGCAUGUUGAUGGACAUUAUGUAGAUGUAAAUCUUUUAUGUGUUUCCAUAUUCUCCCAUCUGAUCUAGUACUGAGUUUUCUUCCGAUUUUUAUUGCACAGUAACUUUUAUGUAGUAGUAAUUAACUGUGCUAUACGUUCCUUAACUAUUCAAAUUAUCUUAUUGCAGUUUGCUACAGACAAAAGAAGUAUUCUUCCUGUUGGGGACAUAUCGGAUACCAUUCCUGACGAAGAGGCAGACAUUGCCGUCCUUGAGGAGCCUGAGCAUCUCACAUGGUUUCAUCAUGGCAGAAAAUGGAAAACCAAAUUCAACUACGUCAUAGGGAUCGUGCACACAAACUACUUGGAAUUCGUAAAGAGAGAGAAACAAGGCCGCCUCAAAGCAUUUCUCCUCAAGUACUUAAACAGCUGGGUUGUUGGCAUUUACUGCCACAAGGUAAACUUUCUUUACAGCUACCAAUAGAAAUGAUGGAGUGAUUGCUCUAUAUGUUGGUAUCUAUCUGUGUAUCAUUAUCCAAUGGUUGGAUUUGAUUCCGGGAUCAAGAUAGUUUGCUGGCCUUAUGUUAACAGAAAAUUUUGAUGAUGUGAAUCAGGACUUGUGCUAAUUAUGUUACUACUCAUACAGGUGAUUAGAUUAUCGGAUGCGACUCAAGAAUACCCUAAAUCUAUAGUCUGCAACGUUCACGGUGUCAACCCCAAAUUUCUAGAGAUUGGUUUGAAAAAACUAGAACAGCAGAAGCUCCAGGAGCAGCCCUUCACAAAAGGGGCAUACUACAUUGGCAAGAUGGUCUGGAGCAAAGGGUACAAGGAGCUUCUUAAACUACUUAAGAAACACCAAAAGGAACUUGCUGGUUUAGAGGUUGAUUUAUACGGCAGUGGAGAGGACUCUGAAGAGAUCAAACAAGCAGCUCGAAAACUUGACCUGACGGUUAAUGUUUACCCAGGACGUGAUCACGCCGACCCUUUAUUUCACAAGUACGUCUCUAGUUUAAUAACCUCGGCUAUGCAGCAUACUUGUAACAUAGAUUCUUAUCUUAAUCUGAGCAUUGACCUCUAUCUAUUGUAAUUACUAUGUCUUCUGUUUCAGCUAUAAAGUGUUUCUAAACCCCAGCACGACAGACGUGGUCUGCACAACAACUGCAGAAGCCUUGGCGAUGGGGAAAAUAGUAGUAUGCGCAGAUCACACAUCAAACGAGUUCUUCAAACAGUUUCCCAACUGCAGAGUCUACGACGAUGGGAAGGGUUUUGUUAGAGCCACACUCAAGGCACUUGGGGAACAACCAUCACAACUAACAGAGCAGCAGAGGCAUGAACUAUCAUGGGAAGCUGCUACACAACGGUUUAUAAGAGCCUCGGAUCUUAACAGGUUAGCAAGAGUUGAUUCCAACUUGUCAAAGAAAAGUCUGUUUGCGUCAUCUUCUAUAAGUGUGGGGAAAAACUUGGAGGACAUGUCUGCGUAUAUGCACUUCUUGGCGUCUGGGUUUGAAACUUCAAGAACAGCGUUUGGUGCAAUCCCUGGAAGCUUGCAGCCAGAUGAAGAGUUGUGCAAAGAUCUUGGCUUGACUCUCAAGACCCCUUCCCGGAAUAGUCUCAAGGAAGAUUGACCCUUAUUAUAUAAAAAAAUGUGUUGUAUUUUGCUAGAAAAUUCCUAUGUGAUUUUUUAUAUACUCAACGAAUCAUUCUAUAGCUUGGUGGAAUGUUUUGAUGGUUUAUAGUAACAUGACAAUUAGGUUAAACAUAUCAUGUUGGUUUGCUCUGGCUUUGUUUUUUUUUUUUGUUUUUAAUCAAGGUUUAUGCAUAACUGGUGUGUGAUUUUGUAUUGGUAAAUAAUUUUGUUAUAUCAAUUAAUAAAUAUAGGUAAAUAAUUCAAUAUAAAUUUCAUUUUACAAAUUAUCCAAUUAAUUAAUACUGGCAUAUAAAUAAAUUUUUGUUCUCUAAUAUCAUUUAUUUCAUUUUUGAAUAGUAAAAAUUUCAUUAAGAUCUAAGAAAUCACAAAUCUAAUAUUUCAAUUUAUUUUAUAUAAUAUUUAAAAGUGUCUAAAAAAUUUCAUCAAAAAUUUUAGAAAUAUUAUCAUUUUUUUCUAGAUCUUUUACUGGGUCAAACGGUGUCGGGUCACGAGUUAAUGACGGUUUUUAGAUUUCUGUUGGGAUUUAUCAAAUUUUUAAUUAAUGAGCUUUUCAUUAGAUUCGAAUCCGAUUAUAUACAUGUAAUCGGGUUUACCGAUUCUACGGCAUGUCUAAAUCGGAUAUAACAUACUAAAUAAAACUCAGGCCAGAAAUAUAAUUAUUAUAUAACAAAAUAUGUAGAUCAAAAUUCAAAAAAGAUACUUAACAAUACAAGUCAAUAUUUUUUUAUCCAAAAAUCAAAUCCGUACUUUCAAAACGUGAGUCAAAAUCUAGUAUACCUAUUAAAAUCAAUGAUUUAGUACCAAAUACCCAAAAAUAUAUGUAUUACCAAAACAGAAAUAUCUGAAAAUAUUCGAAAAGCACGAAAAAAAUAUUAGCAAAUUUUUUUCGUAGUUCCCAAGUCUUCCUUUAACUACCCAAACUAGAACUGAACCCAAAUAGGUCUGUUACUAUAUGGUUCUUAAAUUUCUAUAUUCGAACUAUCUGAUAUCCAAAAUACCUGAACCGACCUGAAUAUCCAAACGCAUUAUAAACAUUAAGAAAAUGCUGUUUUUAUGUGUUUAGAAUAGACAGGGACAUCCAGAUUCUCGGGUUUGGUUUGGUUUGGUUAGAUCCUUUCAAUUUUAAAUCUUAGACAUUUGGACCAAAUUGGAUAUUUAGAAAAAUUCGGGUAUCCUAAAUUUCCCGGAUAUCCGGAUUCAGGUCUAAUACUCAACCAUCAUAAUGUGAAUAUAUAACUCAAAACCCGAGAGUCAGGGUAAAAGUCACCAAACAAUGUAGAUGGGAAAACCCACAAGUAUCAUUAUGAUAACUUUGACAAUAAAAACAGUUAAUAUAUAUCCGAUAAUCAUAAUAGCAUAAAAAUUAGGAGGAAGGGUCGAAGCAACUAGGUAGGUAAUUUCUCAACAGUUUCCCAAUUUCCUAAUCCUGGCUAACUUUUACAUAGUUAAAAAGGUAAAAAAAACUUUUUCUCUCUGUAUAUAUAUAUACACACACACACACACAACGUACUCCUUCCUUGUUAUUUUUAUUUGUGCACCAAAAAUGAACAAAUAUGUCUAGUGAAAGCCUUCUCGCUUGUGCUGCUGAGAAACCAAAGCCUUGUCGAGAAAGCCUAGUCUCAAAGGGAAUGCCGNNNNNNNNNNNNNNNNNNNNNNNNNNNNNNNNNNNNNNNNNNNNNNNNNNNNNNNNNNNNNNNNNNNNNNNNNNNNNNNNNNNNNNNNNNNNNNNNNNNNNNNNNNNNNNNNNNNNNNNNNNNNNNNNNNNNNNNNNNNNNNNNNNNNNNNNNNNNNNNNNNNNNNNNNNNNNNNNNNNNNNNNNNNNNNNNNNNNNNNNNNNNNNNNNNNNNNNNNNNNNNNNNNNNNNNNNNNNNNNNNNNNNNNNNNNNNNNNNNNNNNNNNNNNNNNNNNNNNNNNNNNNNNUUCAUGUACGUUGGUGUUUAUUGCCAGGUCUCAGGGAAGGAUAAGCACGUGGGAACGGCACGUGUGCCGAUAAAGGAUUUUACGGGAGGAUAUGCGCCGGAGGGUUUCUUGCAUUGUUUGAGUUACAGAUUGUGGGACGAGUACGGGAAAAGGAACGGUAUUGUCAAUUUCUCGGCGAGGAUCGUAAAGGCCGCCGGUCUAACGGGAAAAGGAACGGUAUUGUCAAUUUCUCGGCGAGGAUCGUGAAGGCCGCCUGUCUGCGUUCGUUUUGGUUAAGGUAGUUAGUUUUUUAAGGGUUUAGGAUAAUCAAUCUACUAUUGGUUUGUUUUGGUUUCAUCUGGUUUGUAAUGUUCGAUCGGUCUACUGAAACAAAUUUGAUUGGUCUCAAAAUUGUACAUAGAUUUCUCCUAGUGAAAUCGAGACUAUUUGGAAUUGGUUUGCAGUCCUUAUAACCAAACGUUCUUGAACAACAUUUGUGUCUUCUCUCAGCUAAUGAUACUUACCUAAUUGUUGUUGUGUAAUUGCAAAUCAAAAAAAAAAAAAAAAAAAAAAAAAAAAAAUAAUUGUUGUUGUGUAAUUGCAAAUCAAAAAAAAAAAAAAAAGAAAAAAAAAAGAAGAGGAAGAUGAUUAUCAUACCAAAAUUUCCAUGUUAGAGGAAAAAAGCUGAAGUAAUAUGCACUCUUGCGAUCAAAGAAAGAGGUGUUUAGUUACCUUUGUAUAAUUUGACAUAGGUCUCUUAAAUCACCAUAGUACUCAACCAACAUAUAUGUUGGCAGCUCAAGAUCAUAAUGUGAAGGCAGUUAGGGAGUGAUUCUGAAAGCAGGGUGAAUGGUUCUUCUUGUGUUGAGAGAAUCGAGUUUGUGAAUCCCCUCUACACACUCUCCCACUCUCUUUACAAGGAGAGGUAUAUUAGCAGCGUUGUUCCUCAAGCUGAAUCAGUCUCUGCCCACAGUCUUUCUCUUCAGUUCCCAACAACUCAAGAGGUAUUAUCUUUGCUUCUUCUGCAUCAUUAAAAGACAUGAGGAUUGGUUUAUGUAUGUAGCAUAUAAAAGAUAACAGAAAAGGAAGGCAGUGGGAUCAGUGCAUGCUCUUGUGUUAAGAGUGUUUCUCAAAACACUUAUCAUGAACUACAAAGAAAAAGGGUUUCUCAAAACAGUUCUUGUGAGUAAUUGAUGGUUUAAUGGUCAAAAAAAUUAACAAUCCCUCUCACUCAUACAAGCCUCUUAAAAAAAAAAACUAAUCAAUUAUUUUUGCAACCAAUAGUCAUUAACACAUGAAUAGAAUCCGAACCGGAACCAACCAACUUCACAAAAAUGAGAGAGAAGGAACCUGCUGAGAUGGUGAGGGGUUUCGACGACGGAAGAGGAUCCGACCUGGAAUCGAUGUUCCUGAAAUGAUCCGGUAGGGUUGAUUGCCUGUACUCUGAUAUCUUCUUGCACAUCUGACUCCAACUUCUCUACUUCUCCGUCGUCGUAGAGGCCAACUUCGGGAUCUAGGGCCAUCGACUCCGUUCAAUUUUUGAAAUCCGCCGUUGAGGUUUGUGACGUCUUUUCAAAUUCGAGGAGCGCUAACAAAAACCAGUUCCACUGUGAGUGGAAUGAAACGGUAGAGAAAUGAGUAUUUCACCAUAAUACGGCAUCGUUUCAGUGUUUUGCUUUUCUUUGUUUUAAUGUUUAGCAAAUGAGAAGAAACUGGAAUCAAUUCAAUAAUUCAUACAUAUAUGCAUCCCCUUUUGUGCAUUAGCCUCUUCUUUUGCUUUCUAGUCAUCGUCUUAAAUUUACAUCACAUUUAUAUUCUUGUAAUUUCUAGUCAUCGUCUUAAAUUGACAUCACAUUUAUAUUCUUGUAUACACUAUUCAUCAUUUUACAACAAGCUCCCUUAUUUUUGGAUACAACUACAAACUUGAUUUUUGACUCCAUCCAACAUGCUUCACACACUCUCUCUCUCUAUAUAUAUAUUCACUCGAGUUUGGUCUCUUGGGUGGUCCUUGGAAGCAAACCAAGAUCCGAAACAGCUUCACCUGCAAAGCCACAUUAACCCAACGUUACAAAGAAUCCUUCAGGUUCAGGAGAUGAGAUAAUAUAAUAAAGCCAAAGCAGCUAUACCAUGCAUUCUUUUGACGAAUCUCUCGAACUCUACAAAGUUUUGAGACUCCAGCAGAGUUGUGUUUAGCCUUAGGUAAGUGAAACACGACAGGUGGCGACCAUCAGGGUCGUUAAGUGGCUUCGCGUUCUCAAGAAUCUUGUUGUAGCCUUCUCUGUCGUAACAAGGAAGAGCAUUCUCACUAGCUACAGGUAUAUUCGCAUCCCAAGCUGCAUUCAACACCUGCCACACUAGACCUUCUGGGUCAGCCAGCGCCUCUGGAAAAUCCUCGUGCUGGUCAAGUGUUCGUAACUCCACGCAUGUGAAGUUGA